AUGUGGGAAGGCCCAGACAGCCAGGAUGUUGGCUUAGAAGCAGCCAUCAUUUAAAGAAAGCGUAAUAGCUCACUGGUCGAGUCGGCCUGCGCGGAAGAUGUAACGGGGCUAAACCAUGCACCGAAGCUGCGGCAGCGACACUGUGUGUUGUUGGGUAGGGGAGCGUUCUGUAAGCCUGUGAAGGUGUGUCGUGAGGCAUGCUGGAGGUAUCAGAAGUGCGAAUGCUGACAUAAGUAACGAUAAAGCGGGUGAAAAGCCCGCUCGCCGGAAGACCAAGGGUUCCUGUCCAACGUUAAUCGGGGCAGGGUGAGUCGACCCCUAAGGCGAGGCCGAAAGGCGUAGUCGAUGGGAAACGGGUUAAUAUUCCCGUACUUGGUGUUACUGCGAAGGGGGGACGGAGAAGGCUAUGUUGGCCGGGCGACGGUUGUCCCGGUUUAAGCGUGUAGGUGUGUGUUCCAGGUAAAUCCGGUUCACUUUAACACUGAGGCGUGACGACGAGGCACUACGGUGCUGAAGCAACAAAUGCCCUGCUUCCAGGAAAAGCCUCUAAGCAUCAGGUAACAUCAAAUCGUACCCCAAACCGACACAGGUGGUCAGGUAGAGAAUACCAAGGCGCUUGAGAGAACUCGGGUGAAGGAACUAGGCAAAAUGGUGCCGUAACUUCGGGAGAAGGCACGCUGACACGUAGGUGAAGUGAUUUACUCAUGGAGCUGAAGUCAGUCGAAGAUACCAGCUGGCUGCAACUGUUUAUUAAAAACACAGCACUGUGCAAACACGAAAGUGGACGUAUACGGUGUGACGCCUGCCCGGUGCCGGAAGGUUAAUUGAUGGGGUCAGCGCAAGCGAAGCUCCUGAUCGAAGCCCCGGUAAACGGCGGCCGUAACUAUAACGGUCCUAAGGUAGCGAAAUUCCUUGUCGGGUAAGUUCCGACCUGCACGAAUGGCGUAAUGAUGGCCAGGCUGUCUCCACCCGAGACUCAGUGAAAUUGAACUCGCUGUGAAGAUGCAGUGUACCCGCGGCAAGACGGAAAGACCCCGUGAACCUUUACUAUAGCUUGACACUGAACAUUGAGCCUUGAUGUGUAGGAUAGGUGGGAGGCUUUGAAGUGUGGACGCCAGUCUGCAUGGAGCCGACCUUGAAAUACCACCCUUUAAUGUUUGAUGUUCUAACGUGGACCCGUUACCCGGGUUGCGGACAGUGUCUGGUGGGUAGUUUGACUGGGGCGGUCUCCUCCUAAAGAGUAACGGAGGAGCACGAAGGUUGGCUAAUCCUGGUCGGACAUCAGGAGGUUAGUGCAAUGGCAUAAGCCAGCUUGACUGCGAGCGUGACGGCGCGAGCAGGUGCGAAAGCAGGUCAUAGUGAUCCGGUGGUUCUGAAUGGAAGGGCCAUCGCUCAACGGAUAAAAGGUACUCCGGGGAUAACAGGCUGAUACCGCCCAAGAGUUCAUAUCGACGGCGGUGUUUGGCACCUCGAUGUCGGCUCAUCACAUCCUGGGGCUGAAGUAGGUCCCAAGGGUAUGGCUGUUCGCCAUUUAAAGUGGUACGCGAGCUGGGUUUAGAACGUCGUGAGACAGUUCGGUCCCUAUCUGCCGUGGGCGCUGGAGAACUGAGGGGGGCUGCUCCUAGUACGAGAGGACCGGAGUGGACGCAUCACUGGUGUUCGGGUUGUCAUGCCAAUGGCACUGCCCGGUAGCUAAAUGCGGAAGAGAUAAGUGCUGAAAGCAUCUAAGCACGAAACUUGCCCCGA
This 1746-nucleotide ribosomal RNA is filed under the name Salmonella enterica. RNAcentral describes it as "partial 23S ribosomal RNA". It matches the Rfam family "Bacterial large subunit ribosomal RNA", at positions 1073 to 2802 of the family's 2925-position model. The record is from RNAcentral. Lineage: Bacteria; Pseudomonadati; Pseudomonadota; Gammaproteobacteria; Enterobacterales; Enterobacteriaceae.